GUGCGCAGCGCCGGCUUCUUCCCAGCGCGAGUUGCUGCUAACGCUCCUCCUCCAGCUUCCCACCCCCGCCGCCCGCCGCGGCCCGGUACCAACGGGUGGUCUCGCCGAGGGAGCUGUCGUGCCUCGUGGUCCCGGGACUGCAGUGGUGUGCGCUCUCGGCGCGUGGCGCUAGGCAUGGCGAUGGAUCAAGUAAACGCGCUGUGCGAGCAGCUGGUGAAAGCGGUGACGGUCAUGAUGGACCCCAACUCCACCCAGCGCUACCGGCUGGAAGCCCUCAAGUUUUGUGAGGAGUUUAAAGAAAAGUGUCCUAUCUGUGUCCCCUGUGGCUUGAGGUUGGCUGAGAAAACACAAGUUGCCAUCGUCAGACAUUUUGGCCUUCAGAUCCUGGAACACGUUGUCAAGUUUCGGUGGAACGGCAUGUCUCGAUUGGAGAAGGUGUAUCUGAAGAACAGUGUCAUGGAGCUGAUUGCAAAUGGAACAUUGAACAUUUUGGAAGAGGAGAACCAUAUUAAAGAUGCUCUGUCUCGAAUUGUAGUGGAAAUGAUCAAGCGAGAGUGGCCACAGCAUUGGCCUGACAUGCUAAUAGAAUUGGACACUCUUUCCAAACAAGGGGAAACACAGACAGAAUUGGUGAUGUUUAUCCUUUUGCGACUGGCAGAGGAUGUAGUGACUUUUCAGACACUUCCCCCUCAAAGAAGAAGGGACAUCCAGCAAACAUUAACCCAGAACAUGGAAAGGAUCUUCAGUUUUCUGCUUAACACACUUCAAGAAAAUGUAAACAAGUAUCAGCAAGUGAAGACAGAUACUUCUCAGGAGUCAAAGGCGCAAGCAAACUGUCGAGUAGGAGUUGCAGCACUGAAUACUCUAGCAGGCUAUAUUGACUGGGUGUCUAUGAGUCACAUCACUGCUGAAAACUGUAAACUCCUGGAGAUACUGUGUUUGCUGUUGAAUGAACAGGAACUUCAGUUGGGAGCCGCUGAGUGUCUUCUCAUUGCAGUCAGCAGAAAAGGCAAGUUGGAAGACCGGAAGCCCUUGAUGGUCUUAUUUGGAGAUGUUGCCAUGCAUUAUAUACUCUCCGCCGCACAGACUGCUGAUGGAGGAGGUUUGGUAGAAAAACACUACGUCUUUCUGAAGAGGCUCUGUCAGGUGUUGUGUGCGCUGGGCAAUCAGCUGUGUGCAUUGCUGGGUGCAGAUUCUGAUGUAGAAACACCAUCAAACUUUGGAAAAUACCUGGAAUCUUUUCUUGCUUUCACAACCCAUCCAAGUCAGUUUCUACGCUCUUCAACUCAGAUGACUUGGGGAGCCCUCUUCAGGCAUGAAAUCCUGUCCCGUGAUCCUUUGCUAUUAGCAAUAAUACCAAAAUAUCUUCGUGCUUCCAUGACUAACUUGGUCAAGAUGGGCUUUCCUUCUAAAACAGACAGCCCUAGCUGUGAAUAUUCUCGGUUUGAUUUUGAUAGCGAUGAGGACUUCAAUGCUUUCUUCAACUCCUCCCGAGCACAACAAGGAGAGGUGAUGAGGUUGGCAUGUCGUUUGGAUCCCAAAACUAGCUUCCAGAUGGCUGGGGAGUGGCUAAAGUAUCAACUAUCAACUUUUCUUGAUGCUGGUUCUGUGAAUUCUUGUUCUGCAGUUGGAACUGGAGAAGGAAGCCUCUGUUCCGUCUUCUCACCUUCAUUCGUGCAGUGGGAAGCCAUGACUCUUUUUUUGGAAAGUGUUAUCACCCAGAUGUUUCGAACACUAAAUAGAGAAGAAAUUCCUGUUAAUGAUGGAAUAGAGCUAUUGCAGAUGGUUCUGAACUUUGAUACCAAGGAUCCCCUCAUCCUGUCCUGCGUCCUUACUAAUGUCUCUGCACUCUUUCCAUUUGUCACCUACAGACCAGAGUUCCUGCCCCAGGUCUUCUCUAAGCUAUUUUCAUCUGUCACUUUUGAAACUGUUGAAGAAAGUAAGGCCCCCAGAACCCGGGCAGUGAGGAAUGUGAGGAGGCAUGCUUGUUCCUCCAUCAUCAAGAUGUGUCGUGACUACCCCCAGCUUGUGCUGCCCAAUUUUGACAUGCUUUAUAACCAUGUGAAGCAACUCCUCUCCAAUGAGCUACUCCUGACACAAAUGGAGAAGUGUGCCCUCAUGGAAGCCCUGGUUCUCAUUAGCAACCAAUUUAAGAACUACGAGCGUCAGAAGGUGUUCCUAGAGGAGCUGAUGGCACCAGUGGCCAGCAUCUGGCUUUCUCAAGACAUGCACAGAGUGCUGUCAGAUGUUGAUGCUUUCAUUGCGUAUGUGGGUACAGAUCAGAAGAGCUGUGACCCAGGCCUGGAGGAUCCGUGUGGCUUAAACCGUGCACGAUCUUGAAUUCUUGAGUUAGUUCCCACAGCAGAGCAGAUGGUCUUUUCUAUGAAGUCAUUAUUUUGGCUUUAAGGAUCUCUAAAUAGCUCUGAAGACUGAAGGUGUAAUGAGGAAGUAGGUCAGAACUUGGUCAGCAGGAUGAGCUUUUGUGUAUACAGCAUUCUGGGUGUGGUGAAACGAACUUGCUGGCCCACUGACCUAGAAGAGGCCAAAGCUGGGGGAUUUGUGGUGGGUUAUACAUCCAGUGGAAAUCCAAUCUUCCGUAACCCCUGCACAGAGCAGAUUCUGAAACUUCUUGACAAUUUGCUUGCGCUUAUAAGAACCCACAAUACAUUAUAUGCACCAGAAAUGCUAGCCAAAAUGGCAGAGCCUUUCACCAAGGCUCUGGAUAUGCUUGACGCGGAAAAAUCUGCUAUAUUAGGAUUACCUCAACCUCUCUUGGAACUCAAUGACUCUCCUGUCUUCAAAACCGUCUUGGAAAGAAUGCAGCGUUUCUUCUCUACCCUCUAUGAAAACUGUUUUCAUAUCCUAGGGAAGGCAGGCCCUUCCAUGCAGCAAGACUUCUAUACUGUGGAGGACCUUGCUACCCAGCUUCUCAGCUCAGCCUUUGUCAACUUGAACAAUAUUCCUGACUACCGACUCAGACCCAUGCUUCGUGUCUUUGUAAAGCCUCUGGUGCUCUUCUGUCCCCCAGAGCACUAUGAAGCCCUGGUAUCCCCCAUCCUCGGACCUCUUUUCACCUACCUCCAUAUGAGGCUUUCUCAGAAAUGGCAAGUUAUCAACCAAAGGAGCCUGCUGUGUGGAGAAGAUGAGGCUGCAGAUGAAAACCCAGAGUCUCAAGAGAUGCUGGAGGAGCAACUGGUGAGGAUGUUAACCCGAGAAGUCAUGGACCUAAUCACGGUUUGCUGUGUUUCAAAGAAGGGUGCUGACCACAGUAGUGCUCCCCCAGCAGAUGGAGACGAUGAAGAAAUGAUGGCCACAGAGGUCACCCCCUCAGCUAUGGCAGAGCUUACAGACCUGGGCAAAUGUCUGAUGAAGCAUGAGGAUGUUUGUACAGCGCUAUUAAUUACAGCCUUCAAUUCCCUGGCCUGGAAAGAUACUCUGUCCUGCCAGAGGACAACCUCACAGCUCUGCUGGCCUCUCCUCAAACAAGUGCUGUCAGGGACACUGCUCGCAGAUGCAGUUACGUGGCUUUUCACCAGUGUGCUGAAAGGCUUACAGAUGCACGGGCAGCACGACGGGUGCAUGGCUUCCCUGGUCCAUCUGGCCUUCCAGAUAUACGAGGCACUGCGCCCCAGGUACCUGGAGAUAAGAGCUGUAAUGGAGCAAAUCCCUGAAAUACAGAAGGACUCACUGGACCAGUUUGACUGCAAGCUUUUAAACCCCUCCCUGCAGAAAGUGGCUGACAAGCGCCGAAAGGACCAAUUCAAACGCCUCAUUGCUGGUUGCAUUGGGAAACCCUUGGGAGAGCAGUUCCGAAAAGAAGUUCACAUUAAGAAUCUUCCCUCACUUUUCAAAAAAACAAAGCCAAUGCUGGAGACGGAGGUGCUGGACAAUGAUGGGGGUGGCCUGGCCACCAUCUUUGAACCCUGAAUCAAGCUUUUGGGCAUCCUUCCUCGGCCUUUCUUGUCAUCUCUUCUUUCCCUUUGUAGCCGAUCUCUAGGCCCUUCUUGCACUGCCACCUCACUUUCCACCACUGUCAGCCUGGAAAGAGAUCCAGGUCUGGAGCUGGAGAGAACAGGCCCUGUGCAGGACCAGAAGUAAUUAUACUAAAGUAUCAAGAAAGGGAGUUAGGGCUUAAACUAUUCUGUCUAGAUGUCCCAGAUAGUUCCCAUUCUACUUGGAGAUUUGGCUUUUCCAAGAAAAGCUAGAGCAGAGCAGCCCUUCUCCCACAAGCCCUCCCACCCCCGUGCAGCCACAUACCUGUACAGAAUGGUAACUAAGGGUGCUGUGCCCAACCCUGCGACUAGCAAGGCUCGCAGCAAGAGCACAGCCCUCAACUACUUGUGCCAGAGUUUCUCUUGGACCACUCCAACUCCCACUGAGCCCUUUUGCUGCUGGGCUGGCAGGAAACUUUCCCCACUCCCUAAGGGGCAUGUCUGGGUUAGGUGCUAAGUGCUGAAGAGAACUUGGUCAGUUCUCUCAACUUUGCUUUGGGCAAGAAUCUGGUCACCUGAUGGGAUCCAUGGUACAGGCUACUGCUAAACUUGGCACAGUAUCAAGUAUAGUACCUCCAAGGACCAGGGCUGGGAAGUCUUUAGUGCUAACAUCCCCUUUAGAGUUCACACAUCUUGCCCUUCCAUGAAUGACCCCUCAGUCUGGCCUCCCCAGCCUCAAGGUCCACUCAGGCACAAGAGCCACAGUACCCUAGAUAGUGUCACAUGACACCGUUGUCAUCCAAGGAUAAUACAGACCAACUAGGCUACAUCUGUGAUGAGCAGCUAGCAAAGCCGCUGGUCUUCUCCUAGGACUAAGUCCAGGUGCCUUCCACAAUCUCAUGGUCUUUCAGGUCCCUGGUUACUUUUCUCAAAGGCCAUUUCCAAAAGAAUACAUGCCUUCACAUCACAACCUGUACUGUGAGUCCAUUCUAGAGGUCACUGAAAGGCCCUGUAAAGAGAGGACAUGGAUACGGGACCUGGCCCUGAGGUUAUUACUGGCCGUAAGGCAGAGUUAAUCCAUACAGAAACCAGUGUGUCCAUGUGCUCUGCACAAAAACAGACCUGUUGUCCAUCCAGUCCACUGACAAGAGGGUUUCCCCGAGAGCCGAAGUGGACUGAAGCUACAGUUUUUAGCUGGUGCGGGCCACAGGCAGGGUCAGAUUGAGAAGAAGCAAAGCUGGGGAAGCAGAAGUUGGGAGUCUUGUGUUGCUCCCUCUUCCUGUGUGGUGCUCUGGGUUUCUGUGGAUCGUGAAGGCGAUCUCAAGAGUGUUUCCCUCCAAACCUGAUAGCUGCCUAUUCCUGUCUGGUUGGGGCUGUGGAGGAUGUAGUUGUAUUUAUUGCAUUGUAAUAUUUUUAACAUCCUGUGACUUCAUGCUAGAAAUUUUCUAUUGUUUAUAGAAACUUUUUGUAGAAACAUUAACUCUAAAGCACAUCUGCAUGUCAGUAAAAAUCUCAGUUUCGUACAGAAA
Homo sapiens (human) is the source of this 5461-nucleotide RNA transcript. It is a transcript of the gene named exportin 5, with no coding region annotated. The transcript is spliced from 33 exons. NCBI's taxonomy places the organism in Eukaryota, Metazoa, Chordata, Mammalia, Primates, Hominidae. The record is from RefSeq and is marked reviewed.